CCCCGCCUCGCCCUCGCAGUGCAUGCCGGUCUUGUGCUUGGAGUCGCCAUUUUGCUGCUAGAGAUGCUGUCUGAAGAUCAGUGCUCUCUUCCUUCAGCGGCCUAGGCUGCGUCGGGGCCUGAGCUGGGGUCUGGGCCAGGGCAUGAAAGUUCUCAAAUGUUCUGACGUGGACCUGGAAUGCAGCUCCCCAAGCAGCAGACAUGUAGUUCUUGAACAGACUGCCUGGACCAUGGUCUGAGCCAUGGACAAUUUGCUAUUCUCAAGAUUUCCUGUACUGAACAAACCCUGAAGUCCACAGAGUGAAUCUCUGAUCUCCUUUCCGAUGAACAGAACUGCAUCGACCAAGUGUUGGUCACUGAGUGGCAUGGAAGAUCAUCCAUCAGAAUUAUCACAGCCUCUACAGCAGGUCUUCAUGGGGCCACAGCUAACUGCUUGGGAUGGAUCCCCCAUUUCAUCCUCAGUGACCCUAAGCUCUCAAUCCACUGAGUCCCAACCCGUUUGGCACUAUAAACUAGGGCAGAGUGAGGCCCUUGCAUAGGGCCAAGACCUGAAUCCACAGGUGACCAAUUCCCACUGGGCUGCUAAGGUAAGAACUCAGCUUCUCAGCUUUGGUAGAGAGGUCAGCCCUGGAGGAGUCCAAAGAGGAGAGGCUGUGCCUGGGGUAUCUAUCCAGAAGGCUGGCUCCUUAGGCUCCUUCAGGCUGCGAGGCCCAUCUGCCUGCACCGUGCUUCCUGUACAGACCUCUACCCGUUUCUCUGCUGCCUGACUUCUGAGACUGUGGGUAGACAUGGAAUUGGUGUCCUGCACAUGGCUUCUCAGGAGGUUUUGGGGCUGAAGCAAAGCCCACACUCCAAUUAGUCUGCAGAGGCUAGUGGUAAUGGGCUCACAGGAGGGCCCUGAAAAAAAGGGAUUCUCUUAUUAAAACUUACAUUUCACAAGGGAAACUUAUAAAUACUAGCAUGCUCAGAUCACCUCAACAGAGAGGUUGAACAGAAGUCUAGGUAUGAACAAAACCUAUGAGUCCUAAGAUGGCACCUCCCCCCCAGUUUAGAGAUGAGAAAAAAAGGCUCAUUCUGGAUGUUCAGGUCCAUUAAUGAGGCACCGCAGAAUGUUCCCAAGAUUAUGAUGAAAAGUCCCCAGGAAGGAAUUAAGUUCAUCUUCUAUAGCCAUGGAAGGCUGAGCCACUGUGCUCACUGCUUUCUUCUUGUGCUCAUUUAGCCCAGAGGCUCCUACCAAAGGACCUGUAGUGCAUGGAAAAAUCCCAUGAGACAAGUGCCAGAGAAUUGAACAGAGUGGACUGACAUUUGAGGGCUCACAAAAUGACCUGUCUGCAGUGUUCCCACCUCCUAACCUGCCCCGUGUAAACACCUGUCCUGCUCCACAGCUGUGGUGCAUCCACAUGGGGAAGUUGAGAUCUGCACCUGGAUGGAAGACAUUCAGUCAGUAUUGGCUGUGUAACAGACUGACCUUUUCAAAGGUCAGUCAACAUCUAUACAUUUAACCUGAAAAUGUACUGCUAAGUCUUCAUUAUAAAAAGUGAGAUUGAAAGACACCCAUAUUCUUUUUUACUCAGUUAAGGUGUGAAAAAUUAGAAACCAUGAACAUAGCACACAGCAAAACUGCUGAGUGAAUUAUAAAUUUACAGGCACAGAAAAUGCUGAAAGAAGGCCAUGUUCUAGGCCAUGUCCCCAGUCUUACUUGAGAUGAGAGAAAGCUUAUGGCUUGGCCCUCUCUCCAUCCAGCAGUGAAGAGACACAGGCCCUCACAGCAGGCAAUGACAGGAGACAGGAGCUGAUGGAUGGCAGACCACUCAUGCUAAUGGCCCUGAUAGGUACAUUGUGAUCCCGUCUCACACUGCUGAGCCCUGGCUCUCUUCCUACCCAAACUUGUACUCUGUGCUGCCUCCCUGCCACACACAAACCUUGGGAAGAGGUGGCGUCUCUCUUUGGUUUAAGUAAGUUGUCUCAGGUGACAUUUUUUUCAACUAAGGGAAAAUGCCAUUUCCACCUUUAAAUGGACCUUGCUCUGCUUCUCGCAACCUACUUCUGUCCUCUGAGCCUGCGAAUGACAAGCCCAUGGAGGACUCUGGUACUGGAGAACUAUUUGUAUGCCAUUAAUAUAUGCUCUCUUAUUACAAAUGACAGAUUUAGAAAAAGAAAAGAAGAAAAUCUUGGUAUAUUUAUCUAUGUCACCAGGUUUGUGUUAGUUCCCUGUGCCACUUCACCACCCAACAAUGACAUUGUAUGAUAAAGGAAUUUGAGAGUAAAACCAAGAAGAGCAUUCACAUUUCCAGUCCUUUGCAGCUCCAUUCAUUAAGUGAUGGGCAAGUCUCCCAGGCUCUGCCUCACUCUGCCUCUGUCCCUCUGGUUGUCUCACGCACAUCUAUGUGUGUAUGCACAUUGAUGGCAGAGAUAUUUCAUUGUAAAAACUGAGAUCUUGCACACACAAAUGCAUCUUGCAUCAAUGGUAAUUUCAUGAUCAAAUUCCUUGGCCUCUUUCUCUGUGGGCCCAGAGAUACUGAGCUCAGCUUUCCUGAAGCUUUCCCUGCUUUCUGUGGCCUACACUGGUGCCCUGCACACUCUACCUGCAGGAUAGGGAGGGUCCUAGUUCCUUCAUUUUCUAAAAGUGCUAUGAACAACUUGAAAAGAAAGUUAAAAUGUUAUGCAGAUUUUUCUUUAUUUUUUUUUGUGUUGUUGUGGAGCUCUCUGUGUGGGAGAAACCUCUAUAAUUAGCUCAGAGAGGUCCAGGGACCCUGUGUAGAGCUCGGAUGGGAGCUGAGGGAAAUGGUUCUGCUUCCUCCACCCCAUUUUCUCCCCACUGCUGUUCCCCACUUACCUUAAAACCUGAAGUCAAAUGGGGACACAGCACAACUCAGUGACAUGGCCCAGAAUGUAUCUUCAGUGGGAUACUGUGCAUUUUGUACAUUUGUUGGCCAUAUGAGGAGAUUCCCUUUUGCACUGCAAUUAUUUGUCUCUUACCUCACAAAACAAAUGGAAAAGCAAUUCCAACCUCAAAGAUGAAUGUAUUUAGGUUUUAUUUAUAAACUGGGAUCUAUUUGGGACUGUCCCCUUUAUCAAAGAAAAAUAGUUAGUCUCUUCCAUUAAUGCUUGGCCAAAUAGAGCUGUGAUGCACUGAUGUGAAAACCUAGAGUACUAAAUCACAGAGGCAGAAAGAUCAGUGGUGGCUGGGGCUGGCAGGGAAGAGAGGGAAAUGUGUCCAAAUAUGAAUGAAGUUGUGGGAAAUGUUCUGGAACUGGGCAAAACUGAAGAUUGUUCAUAUUGAGAAUGUGUGCAUGCCACUGCACUGUGUAUGCUAAUUAAAGUGAAUGACAUCCUA
Cavia porcellus (domestic guinea pig) is the source of this 3336-nucleotide long non-coding RNA. RefSeq lists it as uncharacterized. NCBI's taxonomy places the organism in Eukaryota, Metazoa, Chordata, Mammalia, Rodentia, Caviidae. The record is from RefSeq and is a predicted model, not a curated record. The transcript is spliced from 4 exons.